This 465-nucleotide ribosomal RNA is filed under the name uncultured bacterium. RNAcentral describes it as "partial 16S ribosomal RNA". It matches the Rfam family "Bacterial small subunit ribosomal RNA", at positions 28 to 507 of the family's 1533-position model. The record is from RNAcentral.
GACGAACGCUGGCGGCGUGCUUAACACAUGCAAGUCGUACGGUAAGGCCCUUUCGGGGGUACACGAGUGGCGAACGGGUGAGUAACACGUGAGUAACCUGCCCACAACUUUGGGAUAACGCUAGGAAACUGGUGCUAAUACUGGAUAUGUGCUCCUGCUGCAUGGUGGGGGUUGGAAAGCUCCGGCGGUUGUGGAUGGACUCGCGGCCUAUCAGCUUGUUGGUGGGGUAGUGGCCUACCAAGGCGGCGACGGGUAGCCGGCCUGAGAGGGUGACCGGCCACAUUGGGACUGAGAUACGGCCCAGACGCCGACGGGAGGCAGCAGUGGGGAAUAUUGCACAAUGGGCGCAAGCCUGAUGCAGCAACGCCGCGGGCGGGAUGACGGCCUUCGGGUUGUAAACCGCUUUCAGCAGGGACGAAGCUUUUUGUGACGGUACCUGCAGAAGAAGCACCGGCUAACUACGUG